This 311-nucleotide ribosomal RNA is filed under the name uncultured bacterium. Its description in RNAcentral is "bacterial SSU rRNA". It matches the Rfam family "Bacterial small subunit ribosomal RNA", at positions 29 to 334 of the family's 1533-position model. The record is from RNAcentral.
AGUGAACGCUGGCGGUAGGCCUAACACAUGCAAGUCGAACGGUAGCACAGAGGAGCUUGCUCCUUGGGUGACGAGUGGCGGACGGGUGAGGAAUACAUCGGAAUCUACUUUUUCGUGGGGGAUAACGUAGGGAAACUUACGCUAAUACCGCAUACGACCUACGGGUGAAAGCCGGGGACCUUUUAGGCCUGGCGCGGAUAAAUGAGCCGAUGUCCGAUUAGCUAGUUGGCGGGGUAAAGGCCCACCAAGGCGACGAUCGGUAGCUGGUCUGAGAGGAUGAUCAGCCACACUGGAACUGAGACACGGUCCAG